GCCGGGCGCGGUGGCUCACGCCUGUAAUCCCAGCACUUUGGGAGGCCCAGGUAGGUGGAUCACCUGAGGUCAGGAGUUCCAGACCAGCCUGGCCUGGCCAACAUGGUGAAAUCCUGCCUCUA
Molecule: non-coding RNA, 122 nt
Filed under: Nomascus leucogenys (northern white-cheeked gibbon)
Lineage: Eukaryota; Metazoa; Chordata; Mammalia; Primates; Hylobatidae
Source: Rfam by way of RNAcentral